GACGAACGCUGGCGGCGUGGAUUAGGCAUGCAAGUCGGACGGUAGGGCUUUAUCGUAAGAUAGAGUUUGAGAGUGGCGAACGGGUGAGUAACACGUAGGAAUCUACCCUUAAGACGGGGACAACCCAGGGAAACUUGGGCUAAUACCGGAUGAGAGUGCGAGAGAUUGCAUUUAAAAGGAUGGCGAAAGUUGUCGCUUAGGGAUGAGCCUGCGGUCUAUUAGUUAGUUGGUGAGGUAAGAGCUCACCAAGGCGAUGAUAGAUAGGCGGCCUUAACGGGUGGUCGCCCACACUGGGAUUGAGAUACGGCCCAGACUCCUACGGGAGGCAGCAGUCGAGAAUAGUCUACAAUGGCCGGAAGGCUGAUAGUGCGACGCCGCGUGAACGAGGGAGCCCUUCGGGGUGUAAAGUUCUUUUAUAUGUGAGCAGUGCUUCUUAUAUUAACAGUAUGGGGAGAGAGAUAUUAGCAUAUGAAUAAGCAAACGGCUAACUCCGUGCCAGCACG
RNAcentral lists this ribosomal RNA (503 nucleotides) under uncultured bacterium. Its description in RNAcentral is "bacterial SSU rRNA". It matches the Rfam family "Bacterial small subunit ribosomal RNA", at positions 28 to 515 of the family's 1533-position model. The record is from RNAcentral.